This is a non-coding RNA of Schizosaccharomyces pombe (fission yeast), 973 nucleotides long. The record is from the annotation of a GenBank genome assembly. Lineage: Eukaryota; Fungi; Ascomycota; Schizosaccharomycetes; Schizosaccharomycetales; Schizosaccharomycetaceae.
ACCCUGAACAUAUUCGUAAGCAAGAGAAUUAUCUGACGAAAACAACGGGUGUAAUUUCUCAAUUCAGCACUUCCUUUGAAGGAUUUUCUCGACUGAGCUCGCAUAUCAUCAAUAAUCGUAAAUAAAUCAGUCAACCAUUCAGACAAAACUUUAAGUAUGUCAUUUGAAAAAGACUCAGUUCUUUCGCCUUGGGAUGUAAUAACAAUCAAGGCGUCUACAGUAGCAGGAUAGUAUUCAGAAUUCGGAACCUUUGACAGCUCGUUGAAUAAUAGUGCACGGUCAUCGGAAGACAUUUCUUUAUGCUUUUCAGCUGCAUGAGUCCAUAAGGAAAUAGUGGCUGCCAGUAUGUUUCCGUGAACUUUAUUUUCAAUAAUGUCUUUAGUGGAAUCAACAAGUUUUUGUAGGAUUACAUUUUUACAAAACUGCUCAUUGUUGAUGAGCCUUUUUAUGCGUUUGUAGCGUUUAUCCAAUGACUGUUGAUUCGAUAUUUGGGUGAGAAUCGUGUCUAUAUCCAAAGCCUUCAUAGCUUAGAUAUAAAUCGAUGCAGCAAACAACGACAAUUUUUCUUUAACCCAAACGUAAUAUAGGUCCUGGGUUGGCACCGAUUUAAGUAUUAAGAUUUUAAAUAUAUUUAAAAAGUGCUAAAUUAAAGAUUUAAUGAAGUAAACCCAAAUUAUAGACUGCUUAAGCCGUGGAGGAUUAUUAUAAACUCCUGAAAAGAUAGCCUUAAGAAACGUGCAGAUAUCGAACUGUAACGGAUUGUAAAAGCACACCUCAAUAUAGCAUCGAUUAGGAUUUAUUCAAUUUCUAUGUUUUAGUCAAUAAAAUCGAAACAAUGAGUCUUCUUCGCGUUGAAGAAGUCAGAAGAUGGUUAAUACAUACAUAAUUUUAGCGAGUAUAUGAUAAAUCUGUUGGUGAAUUUCGGAGUCAAGGUGGAGAUAUGCAAAUUACUAAAUACAAGAAUAACCAUUUA